Molecule: ribosomal RNA, 447 nt
Filed under: uncultured bacterium
Lineage: Bacteria
Description: bacterial SSU rRNA
Rfam family: Bacterial small subunit ribosomal RNA
Source: RNAcentral
CCAGACUCCUACGGGAGGCAGCAGUGGGGAGUAUUGGGCAAUGGAGGCAACUCUGACCCAGCAACGCCGCGUGAAUGAUGAAGGUCUUCGGAUUGUAAAGUUCUUUUCUAAGGGAGGAAGAAAGUGACGGUACCUUAGGAAGAAGCCCCGGCUAACUACGUGCCAGCAGCCGCGGUAAUACGUAGGGGGCAAGCGUUAUCCGGAUUUACUGGGUGUAAAGGGGGCGCAGACGGCGAUGCAAGCCAGGAGUGAAAGCCCGGGGCCCAACCCCGGGACUGCUCUUGGAACUGCGUGGCUAGAGUGCAGGAGGGGCAGGCGGAAUUCCUGGUGUAGCGGUGAAAUGCGUAGAUAUCAGGAGGAACACCGGUGACGAAGGCGGCCUGCUGGACUGCAACUGACGUUGAGGCUCGAAAGCGUGGGGAGCAAACAGGAUUAGAUACCCGAGUA